AUGACCUCAUUGCGAAUAAGGUCACACGGAGGCACUGGGGGUUCGGGCUCUAACAGACCUGUUUUUGCGGGGAAAUACCCCGUUCCCGCUGAGGAAAUCGACACCCAGGCACCAGGCGGUGGUGAGCCGGGCCGGAGUGUGAUCGCCCCUCUGGUGCAGAGCCGUGUCUGCCCUGGGCUCCCGCGGCCAGGGAGUAAAGAAAAUGCGAUUCGUGAGAAAAAGGAGGUUGCAGCGGCUGCACCAAUGGUAACGUGUGUUCAUCGCAGAGGGUGUGCCGAGUGGGGGAACCGCGAGGCACGGGGAGGCCCCGCCGCUGGGCCUGCGCGGCUGGAGGGACGGUGUCUCCCCAACGACACGAACCAAGGGCUGUUCUGGGGUUGGCAGCACCCCCUCCAGGCCGCACCCGCCGUCCGCUGCCUCGUCUCUGCCCACGCGUGGGUCGUUCUGACGGUCCCUUCCCCCGAAGGUCCAAGCCUCAUAGGGGCGUGAGGCCCUGCGGCUAGACCAGGGGGUGGCCUACGGGCCCCAGUCACAGCCCCGGCUUCACUGCCUGAGGGGACGGUCACCAUCUUUGUUUCCAAUUUGCUUUUCUCAGACCUCCAGAAACUCUAGGCGUUAAGAGGGUCUGUUUUCGCAGGUCUACUCUUGGCAGGAUUUAGAUGUGAUUCCAGAGGGGCCAAAGUUCCGUUCCAAGGAAAGGUGGAGACUAUUGUGCGGAACAGAGUUUCGGUGCACCGAUGAACACCGAGAGGACGCUUACAGAACGUCUGGCGAGUAGGGGCGCCCGGGGGCUCAGUCAGCGUCUGACCUUGGCUCAGGUCACGAUCUCACAGUUCAUGAGUUCGAGCCCUGGGUCGGGCUCUGUGCUGACAGCUCAGAGCCUGGAGCUGCUUCGGAUUCUGUGUCUCCCUCUCUGCUCCUGCCCUGCCUGCUCUCUCUCUCUCAAAAAUAAAUAAAUAUGAAAAAACUUAAAAAUGAAUAAAAAUAAAAAGCAAUGCCACAUGUUGAGGGGAGAGCCCCGGGGAGGCCAAGGGACCUGUGGUCCCGAAAGCCACAGACUGUCCAGAAGGAAGCUGGAAACAGGGUCAAAGGGCACACACGUGCCCUCCCGUGGGUGAGAGCAGUUCCAGGGCGCGUGGGGGCAGGCUUCCCAGAGGAAGCGGCACAACUCGCGCCCACGAGUCUCGUGGAGCACGAAGGGGUGUCAGCCCCGAGGUGGAGCCCGCCCGUGACCGCGCAGGAGCCCCGCUGAGACUCUGGGAGGAAUGGGAAACGACACAGGUCCUGGAUGAGAAGGGGAGGGUUCACAAGGCGGGUGCGGCCAUUCAAGACCAGGAAAAGUCGAUAUUUUUAAGAAAAUGUUUUAUUUAUCUUGAGAAAGAGGGAGACAGCGUGAGUGGGGUAGGGGCAGGGAGAGAUGGGGGGAGAGAGAAUCCCCAGCAGGCUCCACGCUGUCCGCGUGGAGCCCAACGCAGGGCCCGAUCUCAAGAACCAUGAGACCAUGACCUGAACCAAAAUCAGGAGUCGGACGCUCAACGGCCUGAGCCCCCCAGACGCCCCAGGGAAAGUCAUUCUUUCACAGACAAUUAAAAAAAAAAAGCCAGCCCACUGCCCGUCCCCUCCAUCAGAUGCCGUCACAUUCUCCGUCCACCGGGAGACUGAGAGGGGGUCAGGGACGGGGGGCAUCUGUGGAAAGACUGUCACAGACAGUGUCUUAAGAACAUUCAACAUCCACUCAGUUACUGAAAAAUCGAAAGCAAUGAAUUUGGAGUUCCUGGUUCUCUGGGCACAGGGAAGUUCACCGUUUCACAAGAGGAAACCGAGUGAUUAAAAGAAAAACCCAAGGCCACAUGUCAGACGUGGGGAGAGACGAAGGAACAAGCCUCGUAUCUGGGGGAGGUCAGCAAAGACCCACGCCCACGACCUCCCAGAAGCCCCCUUAGCAGAUGGUGUAGUUGAGUCUCUCGCGUGCAUUUCCAAAUGUAGGGGUGAAGCUCCAUCUCAGAGGCCUGAGGCCUGAGUGGAAGGGGAGGGCCCUUCUCUCUCUCUCUUUUUAAAAAUGUUUUAUUUAUUUUUAUAUUUGAGAGAGAGAGAGAGACAGUGCAAGCGAGGGAGGGGCAGAGAGAGGGAGACACAGAAUUCGAAGCAGCUCCAGUCUCUGAGCUGUCAGCACAGAGCCCGACGCAGGGCUCGAACCCACAAACCAUGAGAUCAUGACCUGAGCCAAAGUCAGACGCUUCACCAACUGAGCCCCCCGGGCGCCCCUCGGAGGGCCCUUCUCUUAGGCCGAGUGGUGUGCGAGGGUCACCGCCGAGACGCUGGUUCCCGGGGUGGCCAGGCCAGGCCUCUGGAGGAGCUGGGGGACCGCGUGCAACAGAGGCAGGAAUGCAGACAGGGGCCGACGUCCUCUGGGUCCCCAUUACUCUGCACACAAACUGGAGAGGUGUGGCCGCGAUUCGUGCAGUGGCCCCAGAGCCUCCGGGCCUGGCAGGCGGAGGCCAAGGAGGCUGGGGAGAUUAGUCCCAAGGCCCCCCAAGAGUAAGGGUCCCCAGCCUGAGCUGCUCAGACUCACCUGGAGGCCUGGGCCCCGCCCAGAGCUCCUGAGUGCUCGUGGGGGGUGGGGCCAGAGAACUCAGGGUGCUUGGAGAGCAGCAGGUCCCUGAGGACAACCAGCCCUAAGAGUGGUGUCUCGGGACUGAGCAGGGAACGGUCAGGUGCUGAGGACCCCAUGUUUUAGCAGAAAGCGGGAGAGGCGUCCUAGCUUAGGAGGGCCCCCGAGGCUCCAUGGGUCCAGAAAGGAAAGGCGCGUCCCUGCCAGGGCCGGAGACAGAGGGGAGGGGAGAGGCCAGGACUUGAGUGUCCGAGGCCCCCCGGCAGCGCUGGCCUCACCCUCCUCUCUUGCCCUCGAAGCCCUGCAGAGCCCUCCGGUAGACGCAGGUCCUCCAGGAGGACGUCCCAGACUUGAGGGCACUCGGAGGUGAGGCACAGACCCAGCUGACCUGCUACCCGGGGGAAAGGAAGGGGCCACAUCUCUGCUCUCAACUUCCGGCCGAAUGAGGCCAAGCUGCUGGUGAGGGGUGGGCGCCUGGCCUCGGCUCUCCUGCUCACAGCACCCGCCAUGCCCGGCAGAGCCCGGCGGCCUUGACCUCGGACCUCCGGGACUGCGGAGAGAUAACUGUGUGCUGUUUAAGGCGUCCAGAAUGUGGUGCCGGGCGAGCAGUCGGGGCAAAUAAUAUGCCAACACCUGUGUCCCCAGGGAAGGUGCAGUCUGUUUUGGGGGAAGGAAAGUGAACACAAGUGUCCAUCACAAGACAGGCAAGGGCGUCUGAGAGACACUUGAACCAGGAUCAGGACAGAACAGAUGACCCGCCCCUUGGGGGUCCGCCUGUGGAGUCACCCAGAUUUGGAUGGAGCUGAGAGCUAGGGAGAGAAAGAACGGGCGCCCCGGAAGUACCACCAAGCAGGAUGCCCGGGGCUGACCCCGGGCCAGUUCUGUGGUUCGUGGGCAGGGCUCAUCCUACGGUUUCCUUGGGGUGUGUGACUCAGGGUUGGUGACAGCAGACGAUGAAGAGGCUGGAGCAGCCAUCGGGAAGACGGACUGACGGCAGGAGACAGGAUCUGAGGGCACCUGGGGGCUCAGUCGGUGAAGCUUCGACUUUGGCUCAGCUCAUGAUCUCGCCAUUUGGGAGUUGGAGUCCUGCAUCAGGCUCUGCACCGACAGCGCAGAGCCUGCCUGGGAUCCUCUCUCUCCCUCUCUCUCUGCCCCUCCCCUGCUCCUGCUCUGUCUCUCUCAAAAAUAAAUAAACAUUAAAAAAAAAUUUAGAAGACGGGAUCUGUACUCUGCUCACCCAUAAUGCGUGACACCACACGCUUUUUAUUUUGGAAGAUUCUCUUUUUAUCAGAAAUCUACCAUUUUGGGGGCACCUGGGUGGCUCAGCUGGUUAAGCAUCAACUUCAGCUCAGGUCAUGUUCCCACCGCUUGUGAGUUUGAGCCCCACGUCGGGCUCUGUGCUGACAGAGGCUGGAACCUACUUCGGAUUCUGUGUCUCCCUUGCUCUCCGCCCCUCACCCCUCUCAAAAAUAAAGAAAACAUUUUUAAAAAUUAAAAACAAAAGAAUAUUAGAAAUCUACCGUUUUUGGAAUUUGUAUCGGCUUACUUUCCAUUUCUACAAAAUUCUUUAUUUUGAAGCUUUUGGAUAGUUUUUAUGAUAAACCCAGAAGAUGAGCUGAUGGAAAGCAUUGGUGUCAAAUCAAAUGAGGUUCUAUUUUGAAAUCUAAGAAGACGGGGACUUGGCAGAGUGGUACAUGAGCAGCUGGAUUGCAG
Suricata suricatta (meerkat) is the source of this 4324-nucleotide long non-coding RNA. Lineage: Eukaryota; Metazoa; Chordata; Mammalia; Carnivora; Herpestidae. The record is from Ensembl.